Pogona vitticeps (central bearded dragon) is the source of this 358-nucleotide non-coding RNA. The record is from RefSeq and is a predicted model, not a curated record. NCBI's taxonomy places the organism in Eukaryota, Metazoa, Chordata, Lepidosauria, Squamata, Agamidae.
UAUCUGCAUGACUGAAUGCUUCUUUCCCAACAGUUACAUACACCAAUUGAAUUAAGCAGGUGUUCCUUUGGGGACCAUCUCUACAAGACAGGAAGGAUCUUACAAGGCUUGGAGGCAGGAUAUCUGAAAGCAGGGAUGCUGAUGAGUCUUUGGGUCUGAAUCCCAAGUCCUGCCUGCUAAUAUAAUUACCACAAAUUCCUACAUAUUAUGAGUGAAUUUCCUACAGAGGAGAGUUCUGCUGUGUCUCACCAUCCUAAGAGAUCAGAUUGGCAAGUAGUACACAAGACUGGACUUUUUCUGAAGCAAAACAUGUAGCAACACUUUCCCUCCAAGGAAAGUCAGGCUGGCUUCAUCCCUC